AGGUCUUGCCUGCCCAGUGACAAGUUAAACGGCCGCGGUAUUUUGACCGUGCGAAGGUAGCGCAAUCACUUKUCUUUUAAAUGAAGACCCGUAUGAAUGGCGGAACGAGGGCUUAACUGUCUCCCUUUUCAAGUCAAUGAAAUUGAUCUGCCCGUGCAGAAGCGGACAUAUAAAUACAAGACGAGAAGACCCUUUGGAGCUUAAGAUACAAGAUCAACUACGUCAAGGGCCCUUAAAUUUAAGCCAAACUAAGUAACAUCUGACCUAUAUCUUCGGUUGGGGCGACCACGGGAGAAAACAAAGCUCCCAUGCGGACCGGGGUUAUACCCUAAAACCAAGAAAGACAUUUCUAAGUCACAGAACAUCUGACCACAAAGAUCCGGCUUACCGGCCGAUCAACGGACCAAGUUACCCUAGGGAUAACAGCGCAAUCCCCUUUCAGAGUCCAUAUCGACAAGGGGGUUUACGACCUCGAUGUUGGAUCAGGACAUCCUAAUGGUGCAGCCGCUAUUAAGGGUUCGUUUGUUCAACGAUUAAAGUCCUACGUGAUCU
Molecule: ribosomal RNA, 552 nt
Filed under: Rhinodoras armbrusteri
Lineage: Eukaryota; Metazoa; Chordata; Actinopteri; Siluriformes; Doradidae
Description: partial 16S ribosomal RNA
Rfam family: Bacterial large subunit ribosomal RNA
Source: RNAcentral